UACGGAGGGGGCGAGCGUUAUUCGGAAUUAUUGGGCGUAAAGGGCGCGUAGGCGGCUCCGCAAGUCAAAGGUGAAAUCCCUCGGCUCAACUGAGGAACUGCCUUUGAAACUGUGGAGCUUGAGUCCGGGAGGGGGUAGCGGAAUUCCCAGUGUAGCGGUGAAAUGCGUAGAUAUUGGGAGGAACACCAGUGGCGAAGGCGGCUACCUGGACCGGAACUGACGCUGAUGCGCGAAAGCGUGGGGAGCGAACAGG
Molecule: ribosomal RNA, 253 nt
Filed under: uncultured bacterium
Lineage: Bacteria
Description: partial 16S ribosomal RNA
Rfam family: Bacterial small subunit ribosomal RNA
Source: RNAcentral